Molecule: ribosomal RNA, 431 nt
Filed under: uncultured bacterium
Lineage: Bacteria
Description: partial 16S ribosomal RNA
Rfam family: Bacterial small subunit ribosomal RNA
Source: RNAcentral
CCUACGGGUGGCAGCAGUGGGGAAUAUUGGACAAUGGGCGAAAGCCUGAUCCAGCAAUGCCGCGUGAGUGAUGAAGGCCUUAGGGUUGUAAAGCUCUUUUACCAGGGAUGCAGUACCUGGAGAAUAAGCUCCGGCUAACUCCGUGCCAGCAGCCGCGGUAAUACGGAGGGAGCUAGCGUUGUUCGGAAUUACUGGGCGUAAAGCGUGCGUAGGCGGUUAUUCAAGUCAGAGGUGAAAGCCUGGAGCUCAACUCCAGAACUGCCUUUGAAACUAGAUAACUAGAAUCUUGGAGAGGUGAGUGGAAUUCCGAGUGUAGAGGUGAAAUUCGUAGAUAUUCGGAAGAACACCAGUGGCGAAGGCGACUCACUGGACAGAUUGACGCUGAGGCACGAAAGCGUGGGGAGCAAACAGGAUUAGAUACCCUUGUAGUC